This 497-nucleotide ribosomal RNA is filed under the name uncultured bacterium. RNAcentral's name for it is "partial 16S ribosomal RNA". It matches the Rfam family "Bacterial small subunit ribosomal RNA", at positions 28 to 507 of the family's 1533-position model. The record is from RNAcentral.
GAUGAACGCUGGCGGCGUGCCUAAUACAUGCAAGUCGAGCGAACGGACGAGAAGCUUGCUUCUCUGAUGUUAGCGGCGGACGGGUGAGUAACACGUGGAUAACCUACCUAUAAGACUGGGAUAACUUCGGGAAACCGGAGCUAAUACCGGAUAAUAUUUUGAACCGCAUGGUUCAAAAGUGAAAGACGGUCUUGCUGUCACUUAUAGAUGGAUCCGCGCUGCAUUAGCUAGUUGGUAAGGUAACGGCUUACCAAGGCAACGAUGCAUAGCCGACCUGAGAGGGUGAUCGGCCACACUGGAACUGAGACACGGUCCAGACUCCUACGGGAGGCAGCAGUAGGGAACCUUCCGCAAUGGGCGAAAGCCUGACGGAGCAACGCCGCGUGGGUGAUGAAGGUCUUCGGAUCGUAAAACUCUGUUAUUAGGGAAGAACAUAUGUGUAAGUAACUGUGCACAUCUUGACGGUACCUAAUCAGAAAGCCACGGCUAACUACGUG